This 200-nucleotide ribosomal RNA is filed under the name uncultured bacterium. RNAcentral's name for it is "partial 16S ribosomal RNA". It matches the Rfam family "Bacterial small subunit ribosomal RNA", at positions 524 to 723 of the family's 1533-position model. The record is from RNAcentral.
GACGAGGGUCCUAGCGUUGUUCGGAAUCACUGGGCGUAAAGCGUAUGUAGGCGGCCUGCUAAGUCAGUUGUGAAAUCCCACGGCUCAACCGUGGAAUUGCAAUUAAACUGGCGGGCUUGAGUGCAGGAGAGGUUGGUAGAAUACCCAGUGUAGUGGUGAAAAUACGUAGAUAUUAGGUGGAAUACCGGUGGCGAAAGGCG